CACGCUGUAAACGAUGAUUACUAGGUGUAGGGGGUAUCAACUCCCUCUGUGCCGCAGCAAACGCAAUAAGUAAUCCGCCUGGGGAGUACGGCCGCAAGGUUGAAACUCAAAGGAAUUGACGGGGGCCCGCACAAGCAGCGGAGCAUGUGGAUUAAUUCGACGCAACGCGAAGAACCUUACCAAGGCUUGACAUCCACUUAAACUCAUGGAAACAUGAGGUGUUUUCGGACGAAGUGAGACAGGUGG
This 246-nucleotide ribosomal RNA is filed under the name uncultured bacterium. RNAcentral describes it as "partial 16S ribosomal RNA". It matches the Rfam family "Bacterial small subunit ribosomal RNA", at positions 796 to 1041 of the family's 1533-position model. The record is from RNAcentral.